This is a long non-coding RNA of Salmo salar (Atlantic salmon), 248 nucleotides long. RefSeq lists it as uncharacterized. Lineage: Eukaryota; Metazoa; Chordata; Actinopteri; Salmoniformes; Salmonidae. The record is from RefSeq and is a predicted model, not a curated record.
GGCGCGAGGAUUUUGUGGUCCAAAGCCAAGCAAUGGUUUCCUUCAAUCUCCGAGAGGGGAGGUGCAUCGGAUUUGUUGGAGAUUUUAGUCUUAUGAUUAAAUGUGGCAAAUUGGAUCUGGAUGACCUCAACUCUGAAUGCCUGGGGAACAUUAUUCGUUUGAUUGUGGAUCCCCUUUACAGGAGGUUUGAAGUUGACGUUAUUGUCGGACCUGAGCCCUAGGACCAUGCCUCAGGACUACCUGGUAUG